GCCCCCGUAGCCCAACCGGCAGAGGCAGCCGGCUUAAACCCGGCGCAGUACGGGUUCGAAUCCCGUCGGGGGCACC
This 76-nucleotide transfer RNA is filed under the name Cellulomonas pakistanensis. RNAcentral describes it as "tRNA-Leu". It matches the Rfam family "tRNA". Rfam says of the family: Transfer RNA (tRNA) molecules are approximately 80 nucleotides in length. Lineage: Bacteria; Bacillati; Actinomycetota; Actinomycetes; Micrococcales; Cellulomonadaceae. The record is from RNAcentral.